This 212-nucleotide long non-coding RNA is filed under the name Elaeis guineensis (African oil palm). RNAcentral's name for it is "long non-coding RNA (EGUI_LNC064821)". The record is from RNAcentral. Lineage: Eukaryota; Viridiplantae; Streptophyta; Magnoliopsida; Arecales; Arecaceae.
ACCUGAUAAGUGGAAAAUCAUAAGUGAACAAAACAUGCAUGAAUGUUAGUUCCUAUAUCUAUCCACUAAUUAUAUACUUCAAUGGUCAUGUUCACUUCAAAAGUGAAAAGAAUAAACCUAAAAACAGUCUCAGAAAAGUUGGCCCUAGAGGUCAAUAUGUUAACUUGAGGAUGACGAGAGAUCGAACCAUUCUUCUUAGGUGUAGGAGGAGC